RNAcentral lists this ribosomal RNA (479 nucleotides) under uncultured bacterium. Its description in RNAcentral is "bacterial SSU rRNA". It matches the Rfam family "Bacterial small subunit ribosomal RNA", at positions 28 to 507 of the family's 1533-position model. The record is from RNAcentral.
GAUGAACGCUGGCGGCGUGCCUAACACAUGCAAGUCGAACGGAGCUGCUUUGAUGAAGUUUUCGGAUGGAUUUAAAACAGCUUAGUGGCGGACGGGUGAGUAACGCGUGGGUAACCUGCCUCACACUGGGGGAUAACAGUUAGAAAUAGCUGCUAAUACCGCAUAAGCGCACGGUUCCACAUGGAACAGUGUGAAAAACUCCGGUGGUGUGAGAUGGACCCGCGUCUGAUUAGCCAGUUGGCGGGGUAACGGCCCACCAAAGCGACGAUCAGUAGCCGGCCUGAGAGGGUGAACGGCCACAUUGGGACUGAGACACGGCCCAAAACUCCUACGGGAGGCAGCAGUGGGGAAUAUUGCACAAUGGGGGAAACCCUGAUGCAGCGACGCCGCGUGAGUGAAGAAGUAUUUCGGUAUGUAAAGCUCUAUCAGCAGGGAAGAAAGUGACGGUACCUGAAUAAGAAGCCCCGGCUAACUACGUG